UACGUAGGGGGCAAGCGUUGUCCGGAAUCAUUGGGCGUAAAGCGCGUGUAGGCGGCUCGAUAAGUCUGCUGUGAAAGUCCAAGGCUCAACCUUGGGAUGCCGGUGGAUACUGUCGAGCUCGAGUCCGGAAGAGGAGUGUGGAAUUCCUGGUGUAGCGGUGAAAUGCGUAGAUAUCAGGAGGAACACCGAUGGCGAAGGCAGGUCUCUGGGCUGACACUGACGCUCAUGCACGAAAGCGUGGGGAGCAAACAGG
RNAcentral lists this ribosomal RNA (253 nucleotides) under uncultured bacterium. RNAcentral's name for it is "partial 16S ribosomal RNA". It matches the Rfam family "Bacterial small subunit ribosomal RNA", at positions 524 to 776 of the family's 1533-position model. The record is from RNAcentral.